CCUACGGGUGGCAGCAGUGAGGAAUAUUGGUCAAUGGGCGGGAGCCUGAACCAGCCAAGUCGCGUGAGGGAAGACGGUCCUAUGGAUUGUAAAUCUCUUUAGGCGGGGAGCAAUGCCGGGCACGCGUGCCCGGAGGGAGAGUACCCGCAGAAUCAGCAUCGGCUAACUCCGUGCCAGCAGCCGCGGUAAUACGGAGGAUGCGUGCAUUAUCCGGAUUUAUUGGGUUUAAAGGGUGCGUAGGCGGAUUUUUAAGUCAGCGGUAAACUGUGCGGGCGCAACCCGGGUCAGCCGUUGAAACGGGGGAUCUUGAGUGGGCGAGAAGAAUGCGGAAUGCGUGGUGUAGCGGUGACAUGCAUAGAUAUCACGCAGAACUCCGAUUGCGAAGGCAGCAUACCGGCGCCCGACUGACGCUGAGGCACGAAAGCGUGGGGAUCGAACAGGAUUAGAUACCCGUGUAGUC
RNAcentral lists this ribosomal RNA (460 nucleotides) under uncultured bacterium. RNAcentral's name for it is "partial 16S ribosomal RNA". It matches the Rfam family "Bacterial small subunit ribosomal RNA", at positions 338 to 795 of the family's 1533-position model. The record is from RNAcentral.